GGAUUGGGAUAUUCCGACUCCUUAAGGGCCUGGCGCACAUAAGGUGUGACCUUUUCAUUCCCGUUGUUAUGGAGGGCCACAUCUGCCAGAGCCUGGAGUCUGCGAAGGCCGGGACCCGGUUCCCCGGCCCACAGUGGGGGUGUGCAAACCCGAGAGAACUGGUCAAGUCUUCACCACUUGCUGGUUCCCAGGAGUAAACUUGUUUGAACGGUGACCUAAUUGCUAUAUUCACCUAGGUUGCAAAUUCGUGAAGAAUCAGCAUCAUGUUUGGCAGCUGAGUAUUGGAGCCAGGAGCCUGCCAUGAGGUUUUGAGAACAGAGUGCUGUUUUAGAGCUGGCAGCAGCAUCUCAGCCCAAGAGAAGGUUAUAUUCCCAGAGGAUGUCAGUCCCAAGGACCAGUAGCUGCCAUCAGUUUGGAUUCUGAAAACUAACUGGCAUCAACACUGGGUGUAGAAACAUGCUUGCCUUAUGUAUCAGAGGACAUGCUCAGCAGAUCCAAGAGAUAUAUUUGGCAACUUUUUCUAGAAAAGGCACAUUGGGUAUCAUUCAUUACAUUCUUGAGUUUUUUUGGGUUUUUUUUUUUUUUUUUGAGACAGUCUUGCUGUAUUGCCCAGGCUGGAGUGUGGUGGCACAAUCACAGCUCAUUGCAUCCUCAAUCACCCAGGCCUAAGCAAUCCUCCCACCUUGUAGCUGGGACUACAGCUCACAGCACACCUGGCUAAAAUUUUUUUUUUGUUGAGACGGAUUCUCUAUGUUGCCCAGGCUGGUCUCAGGCUCCUGGGCUCAGAUGGUCCUCCUGCCUCAGCUUCCAAAGGCACAGGCCAAGUUGUAGCUUUGUCCCUUGCCAUCAUGCCCAACAAGAGGUUCUAUACCUUUUAAUGAAUUGACUUUCAUAAAUUGGUUAUGUUGGUGGGCAAAGUUCUUUAAGCUGGAAAUUGUAAAUUCCUCCUGAAAUGUUUUUUCAUGCAGUUACCAUGAACUAAUACUACAAUAAAGGAUGGUCUUGGGUGUCAAUUCUUGAAAA
RNAcentral lists this long non-coding RNA (1023 nucleotides) under Homo sapiens (human). RNAcentral's name for it is "non-protein coding LRRC75A-AS1:89". Lineage: Eukaryota; Metazoa; Chordata; Mammalia; Primates; Hominidae. The record is from RNAcentral.